GAUUAAGUUAUUAAGGGCGCACGGUGGAUGCCUUGGCACUAGAAGCCGAUGAAGGACGUUACUAACGACGAUAUGCUUUGGGGAGCUGUAAGUAAGCUUUGAUCCAGAGAUUUCCGAAUGGGGAAACCCAGCAUGAGUUAUGUCAUGUUAUCGAUAUGUGAAUACAUAGCAUAUCAGAAGGCACACCCGGAGAACUGAAACAUCUUAGUACCCGGAGGAAGAGAAAGAAAAUUCGAUUCCCUUAGUAGCGGCGAGCGAAACGGGAAGAGCCCAAACCAACAAGCUUGCUUGUUGGGGUUGUAGGACACUCUAUACGGAGUUACAAAGGACGACAUUAGACGAAUCAUCUGGAAAGAUGAAUCAAAGAAGGUAAUAAUCCUGUAGUCGAAAAUGUUGUCUCUCUUGAGUGGAUCCUGAGUACGACGGAGCACGUGAAAUUCCGUCGGAAUCUGGGAGGACCAUCUCCUAAGGCUAAAUACUCUCUAGUGACCGAUAGUGAACCAGUACCGUGAGGGAAAGGUGAAAAGCACCCCGGAAGGGGAGUGAAAUAGAACCUGAAACCGUGUGCUUACAAGUAGUCAGAGCCCGUUAAUGGGUGAUGGCGUGCCUUUUGUAGAAUGAACCGGCGAGUUACGAUUUGAUGCAAGGUUAAGCAGUAAAUGUGGAGCCGUAGCGAAAGCGAGUCUGAAUAGGGCGUUUAGUAUUUGGUCGUAGACCCGAAACCAGGUGAUCUACCCUUGGUCAGGUUGAAGUUCAGGUAACACUGAAUGGAGGACCGAACCGACUUACGUUGAAAAGUGAGCGGAUGAACUGAGGGUAGCGGAGAAAUUCCAAUCGAACCUGGAGAUAGCUGGUUCUCUCCGAAAUAGCUUUAGGGCUAGCCUCAAGUGAUGAUUAUUGGAGGUAGAGCACUGUUUGGACGAGGGGCCCCUCUCGGGUUACCGAAUUCAGACAAACUCCGAAUGC
This 966-nucleotide ribosomal RNA is filed under the name Staphylococcus aureus. RNAcentral's name for it is "partial 23S ribosomal RNA". It matches the Rfam family "Bacterial large subunit ribosomal RNA", at positions 1 to 963 of the family's 2925-position model. Lineage: Bacteria; Bacillati; Bacillota; Bacilli; Caryophanales; Staphylococcaceae. The record is from RNAcentral.